This 353-nucleotide long non-coding RNA is filed under the name Phoenix dactylifera (date palm). RNAcentral describes it as "long non-coding RNA (PDAC_LNC002268)". Lineage: Eukaryota; Viridiplantae; Streptophyta; Magnoliopsida; Arecales; Arecaceae. The record is from RNAcentral.
UUGAGUGGGCCAGGUGUUCCCAUCCUUUUUGGGGUGUGCAUCUGAUACCCAACAUUUGCUGAUGGGAAAUAAGGAAUCCAUAUGUUCCCUUUCGGGUUUGGUGGGAUUAAUGACAGGUUCUUCAGAGAGGAGGCACUUGGGAGAACAAUGUUCUCUGAAUCAUAAAAAGGAGGGCCAAAACUAGAGGGAUAUAUGGUCUCUUAGUCGGAAAAGGAUUGAAAUCUUCUAAGAGUUUUAUGUAAGAGAUGCUUAGAUCUGAAGUUACAUAUGAUGCCUUCAGCGAUGACGUAUGUUGAGUAUAUAGUUUUCCAAUUUUCAUCAACAUAUUAUGACAAGAUGAUAAGUUAUUGAAA